UAAAAAAGUAAUAUUAUAUAAAUGCAUAAAAAACCCAAUAUAGAAUUAUGGAAAAUAAAAGUAACUUUACACAUAUAAAACGGACCAAAAUGCAUACUACAUUUUAAUUACAAUUUUUGGACACUAAUGCUUCUUUGUCACCAACAGACUCACCAAAGAAUGUUACAUGAUCAACAAUGAGUGCUCUAGUCUUGUGAAACAGCCCAAAAAUGGAAAGCAGUUCUUCAGAGAUUGGAUGGCCGUGAUCUGUCCUGUGAAAAAUGGACAGAAUCUCAUGUGAACUCCUGGUUGAAAUGCAUUG
Trematomus bernacchii (emerald rockcod) is the source of this 301-nucleotide long non-coding RNA. RefSeq lists it as uncharacterized. NCBI's taxonomy places the organism in Eukaryota, Metazoa, Chordata, Actinopteri, Perciformes, Nototheniidae. The record is from RefSeq and is a predicted model, not a curated record. The transcript is spliced from 3 exons.